This is a non-coding RNA of Rattus norvegicus (Norway rat), 1213 nucleotides long. NCBI's taxonomy places the organism in Eukaryota, Metazoa, Chordata, Mammalia, Rodentia, Muridae. The record is from RefSeq and is a predicted model, not a curated record.
GAGAGAUUUUAGCUUUGCCUCCUUUCCUGCUCUCUUUACCGUACCUCCUUGACGUACCACCCACUUCACCUUGCUUUCGGUGUGCAGAUGAAGUGUGAUCUCUGCUUCCUGUUCCUGCUUCUAUGCCAUCCCUUCCCUGCCAUGAUGGAUGUUGUCCCUCAGAAACCAAAAUCGCCUUCACCCAAUGAGGCAGCUGGUGACAUGUGACAUCCUGACGUGUAGAUGAGGAAACCAAUGUGACAUGACUUGGUGGGAGAUCCACCCGGGGUGAGCAGAGGAGCCGGGAUUUGAACUCAGGCAGUUGGUCCUCAGUGUCGAGGCGCAUAACAGCCACACUCCAUAGGCUUCCUGGAGUAACCAGCAUGGGCAGGUAUGCUCCACAAAUCACAUUACUCAAGCCUCUUCACUUACAUUGGACUAUUGGAAUUUAAGUAGGUGUCUGGAACACUUGGAUGCUCGACCACUCAUCUCUUUGGUUACCCAGUAUAAACCCAGCUGCAGUCAUACAGGAUCCUUGCUCCCAGGUUCGGUCCAUCUUGAUGAGGAAGGCAGAAGAAUGAAAGUCUGAAGUAGCUGCCACGUCAUAUCCACAAUCGGGAAGCAGAAAGAUGUAUGCAAGGCAUGCAAUGAGGGUCGAAGUUCUGCUUUCUUUCUUCACUUACACAGACUGGGACCACAGCUCGGAAGCAGUACAGACACAAUGGCAUCAAUACAAUCAAAACCGUCUGCCUACAUACCCAAAAGUCCAUCUCCAGACUGGACGUCAGCACAUCCUGUAGAAAGCCCAGAGGAUGCAGAAUCAAAGUCUCUGUCAGGAGGGUGGAGGCCUAAACAGGAACCAUCACCCAUUCAUAAGUUUAGAUCUCUCCAGCUUGGAAUUAACAGAGGGGAAAAGCAUCAGACGGAGAAGCGUGGUUUAGCAGCUCGACAUGGGAAGGGAGGUGUCUGUGUGCUGAUGCAGAAGUCGAUGCUCUGGACCCUUGUCUGUGCACAGGCAGGACGCCGCUGUUGUGGUGAGAAGAUGUGAGUCAAGCCUUGGUACAGAAGGACUUAGGAUCUCACCAGGAGGAGGAGGUUCACACCAACUUCUAGAAAAUACCAAAAAGGGGACUGCUUCCUGGCUAAUCCUUAAGACCAGUAUUACCCAAACCAGAUAAGAAUGUCAGAAAAGCCAGCAAUCGCUUGGCUUUAUCUGUGCGUGUAAGUCUGUUUA